GUCAGCCGUGGAGUCAAGUCGAGCUUCCAACAAAGCUCAACUCAAACUAAUUCCAAAAUUUUGGAAAAAGCGGGAGCGCGGGGUGACGAGUGGUGAAAGCGACCAUCAGCCGACCGUGGAAAAGCUCAAGGCCGAAAGCUGCUGCAGGAAUCCAUGGAACCGAUUGGCGGUGGUGGGGGAAACCACGUGUCUAGAAUAUAUAUCAGCCCCUGAUGUGCGUUAAAUAACGGAGAAAAAACUAACUAAAAACGGCUAUCCACUACAUGCUACGUUGCAGGAUUUCGACUUCCAUGAAUUGUAAAAAGUGUGAGAAGAGUGAAAACAGGAGCAGAAUUUCUGGAUUGUAGCUGUAGCAAGAUUGGGAAUUUCAUUAAGUUAAUGAACUUCGAAAAUCAGGUCAUUGAUCAUUCUGUAGAGGAAAUUUAAAUUUCAAUAAAGGAUUUUCUACAAAAGAAA
Long non-coding RNA from Zophobas morio, 456 nucleotides. RefSeq lists it as uncharacterized. The record is from RefSeq and is a predicted model, not a curated record. The transcript has 3 exons. NCBI's taxonomy places the organism in Eukaryota, Metazoa, Arthropoda, Insecta, Coleoptera, Tenebrionidae.